GGACGGGGCCGCGGGCUCCGAGGGGGAGGGCGGCAGGAAGCAGGACAUCGGCGACAUCCUGCAGCAGAUCAUGACCAUCACCGACCAGAGUUUGGACGAGGCGCAGGCCAGAAAACAUGCGUUAAACUGCCACCGAAUGAAGCCUGCCCUGUUUAACGUGCUGUGUGAAAUCAAGGAAAAAACAGGUAGGACUCAGAUGCCGACCUUUAAGCAUUUUCUUUGGCCAGCUGACUCACUGAACCAGCGAUUAGGACCCAUGACUUAAAUAUUAAAAUUGCAGAAUGUGAGUUCUCCCAAGAUUGAUCGCCUUCUAUAGGGCGUCCUGGUCGCCAAGUUUCUUGGCCAGUUUUGACCCAGCAUUGCUCGUUUCUUUUCCUUAACUCCAUCCCGGCCUCUGAAAUUGGGGCAGACGCAGAGGUUCAGAAGGAAGUUUAUAGAAUGAUGUGCCUUUCGGGGAAAAAUGUGAAAGUAAAAGUCCAUUUCCUGAAGGAAUAUGUUUUGGCCGUAUUUAAAACACUCAUUUGGGGGGAGUUGUUUAAAGUUCCCUUUCCUUUUUCUCUUGCCGUUAGGCCUUAGGCGAAGCAGCCUGGCGGUUCUCGGCGCUGCUUUGGGAUACCUGUGUGGGCCGCCCUCCGCACCACCACGUAGAGCCGCCUGGGCCCUGUGAUUUCGUAGCGGGGCAUGGCUGGGCUUGGGAGACUGUAAUGCCACGAGGUCACGCUUUCUGUUGUUUUUCUAUUUUCGAGACCUCAUAACAUGGACUGACACACUUAUGACACAUCCCAGGAGGGCACUGAAAUUUUAAAGUCACAAUUAAAAAAUACCAGCCACCCAUCAGAGGUGUUCUCAACCCACAGGAAAGGACAUCGAGCAACAUCCCCUCUCUUGUUUAUUUUAAUCCUUAAUUUCCCAAAGUGGGUGAUUCUGUGUCUGGUGAAAAGAAGGCAUUGAGAAGGCAGCCUGAGAGCAGGGCGGGAGUGGAGGCCCGUGGCUACCUGAAGGUUGAGCGGCCGCAGGGCUCUCUCGGGCUGGCUGGCUGGCUGGCUGCGUGAAGCACCUGACAGCCCAGUUAUUUAUUUAUUUUUACAACAAGGAGUGUAACAGUCAAUAAUUCAUACCUAAACCAUAUAAGCAAGGGCAUGACAUGGAUGAAAGUGACAAUAAAUAUGAUUGCAUGCCCGGUUGAUAUACAUUGAUAGUUACACAUAAAAAGGGGGGGCUGGGCGCACAGGGUGGCUUUCUCUUUGAGAGCUUUCUGUGUUUCUCUUUUAAAAAAUAAAUAGUUUCCAGAUGUGACCGUGUGAUGGGCUAUGUAAUUACUCAGGGCUUGGAUUGUAUGAAAAAUUAGCGAGCAGCUCCUUUGUUGGGUGUGAUUUGCGCGGCACAGAGCGUCCGAGACAAAGCACCUGAGAGCGGUGCUCGGACCCCCAGGUUGCCGCGAGCUGCCUGAUUGCCGGGCUGUUAAUUGCGUUAUUUUAGCUGCAAGACACCUUUUAAGAGAUUUAUGGGCUGUGCAUACAAAUAUCAAGGAGCUGUUUCAGUUUGUCAUACUUUUUAGUUUUCGCUUUUCCAUUAGCCUAGAGCAGGGAACCUAUGUGCAAAUAUACAUUUUUCUUGUCUUCUUUCCUUCCUCUCGUUUUCUUUCUUUCUUUUUUCUUUUUUCAUGUGGAUGCUUGACGACUGUGAAUAUUUGGUUUGGUGACAUUGGUUUCUAAUCUGGUCUGCAUCCUGCUGAUCUUGAUUCAUAAAAUGUGGAGUCAGGACGUACAGCCAUGUUGAGGACCCAGGCUCACGAGGCUCUGGUUUUGAGGACCUUGAUCAGAUUUUUAUUGAAAGGAAGCCCAUCAGGGCACUUAGCUGUAUGUUGUGGCCCAAGUGUUUAAUUCCAGUCUUCUGAUUACACCUACUGAGGCAGUCGAUCGAAGUGAGUGGGUUCCGGUGGGGCUGGGGCUGGUUCCUCAUUCACGUUGGCUGAACUGCGGUGGCAGGACACAGUCGCAUUGGUCAAACGAUAUUCCAAAGGUGUAAUUUAUUGUUGGAAUAUAUAUUUUGUUUUUAAAUUUUUCUGUCAUUUAAUGACAUUCAUAUUUAGAGAUUUUUAAAAACCUAAAUUAAGUGUUUGUGUGUUGCCUCUAGAAAAAUAUAUUAAAAAAUACUUUGUCAAGUGCUGUAAGUUAAAAAUGGUAACCAUCACUGGCCCCGUGGAAGAGGGAAAUGCACACACACACACGUAGAGUUUUGGAUUGAUAGGGCAUCCAUGGGUGAAAGUUAAAAAAAAAAAA
This is a non-coding RNA of Miniopterus natalensis, 2282 nucleotides long. The record is from RefSeq and is a predicted model, not a curated record. NCBI's taxonomy places the organism in Eukaryota, Metazoa, Chordata, Mammalia, Chiroptera, Miniopteridae.